RNAcentral lists this ribosomal RNA (253 nucleotides) under uncultured Lactobacillus sp. RNAcentral describes it as "partial 16S ribosomal RNA". It matches the Rfam family "Bacterial small subunit ribosomal RNA", at positions 524 to 776 of the family's 1533-position model. Lineage: Bacteria; Bacillati; Bacillota; Bacilli; Lactobacillales; Lactobacillaceae. The record is from RNAcentral.
UACGGAGGGUGCAAGCGUUACUCGGAAUCACUGGGCGUAAAGAGCGCGUAGGCGGGAUAGCAAGUCUGAUGUGAAAGCCCCCGGCUUAACCGAGGAAUUGCAUCGGAAACUGUGUUUCUUGAGUGCAGAAGAGGAGAGUGGAACUCCAUGUGUAGCGGUGGAAUGCGUAGAUAUAUGGAAGAACACCAGUGGCGAAGGCGGCUCUCUGGUCUGUAACUGACGCUGAGGCUCGAAAGCAUGGGUAGCGAACAGG